RNAcentral lists this ribosomal RNA (514 nucleotides) under Trigonopterus diversicollis. RNAcentral describes it as "SSU rRNA". It matches the Rfam family "Eukaryotic small subunit ribosomal RNA", at positions 77 to 568 of the family's 1831-position model. The record is from RNAcentral. Lineage: Eukaryota; Metazoa; Arthropoda; Insecta; Coleoptera; Curculionidae.
UAAGGUGAAACCGCGAAAGGCUCAUUAAAUCAGUUAUGGUUCCUUAGAUCGUACCCACAAUUACUUGGAUAACUGUGGUAAUUCUAGAGCUAAUACAUGCAAACAGAGCUCCGACCGGAGACGGAAGGAGUGCUUUUAUUAGAUCAAAACCAAUCGGUGGCGGGUUCGCCCGUUAUCGUACAACUUGGUGACUCUGAAUAACUUUACGCUGAUCGCACGGUCAUCGCACCGGCGACGCAUCUUUCAAAUGUCUGCCUUAUCAACUGUCGAUGGUAGGUUCUGCGCCUACCAUGGUUGUAACGGGUAACGGGGAAUCAGGGUUCGAUUCCGGAGAGGGAGCCUGAGAAACGGCUACCACAUCCAAGGAAGGCAGCAGGCGCGCAAAUUACCCACUCCCGGCACGGGGAGGUAGUGACGAAAAAUAACGAUACGGGACUCAUCCGAGGCCCCGUAAUCGGAAUGAGUACACUCUAAACCCUUUAACGAGGAUCAAUUGGAGGGCAAGUCUGGUGCC